RNAcentral lists this ribosomal RNA (330 nucleotides) under uncultured bacterium. Its description in RNAcentral is "bacterial SSU rRNA". It matches the Rfam family "Bacterial small subunit ribosomal RNA", at positions 29 to 359 of the family's 1533-position model. The record is from RNAcentral.
AUUGAACGCUGGCGGAAUGCUUUACACAUGCAAGUCGAACGGCAGCACGGGGCAACCUGGUGGCGAGUGGCGAACGGGUGAGUAAUACAUCGGAACGUGCCCAGUCGUGGGGGAUAACGUAGCGAAAGCUACGCUAAUACCGCAUACGAUCUACGGAUGAAAGCGGGGGACGUCGCAAGAGCCUCGCGCGAUUGGAGCGGCCGAUGGCAGAUUAGGUAGUUGGUGGGGUAAAGGCUCACCAAGCCUGCGAUCUGUAGCUGGUCUGAGAGGACGACCAGCCACACUGGAACUGAGACACGGUCCAGACUCCUACGGGAGGCAGCAGUGGGG